RNAcentral lists this small RNA (717 nucleotides) under Pan troglodytes (chimpanzee). RNAcentral's name for it is "processed transcript". Lineage: Eukaryota; Metazoa; Chordata; Mammalia; Primates; Hominidae. The record is from RNAcentral.
ACAGAAGAGGGAACUGUUUGUCCAAUCAGGGAGCAAAGUCACAUUUGACCUCGAAUUUCAGCCCUUAGGAUCCUCAGGGAAUAAACACUCAUGCACUUAGUGCUAGUCAAAGACUGCAUGAUUAUUUAACUAAAAAAAUUCACAUUCCAAGAAGUUAACUGUCAGUAAGAUAGGUUUUGGUCUUUCUCAUCACAGCUUUCCCUUCACAGGCCACUAGUGCCAGUUCGAAUUCCCGUCCCCAGCGGCAACCCUUCCGGGUCCAGGCACAGUGCCGCAGAAUGGAAUUCGGCAUUGUUCCUACACAGCUUCUCGGAAACAUCUCUAUGUUGAUAAAAAUACAAAGAUUAUUUGCCAGGGUUUCACUGGCAAACAGGGCACCUUUCACAGCCAGCAGGCAUUGGAAUAUGGCACCAAACUCGUUGGAGGAACCACUCCAGGGAAAGGAGGCCAGACACAUCUGGGCUUACCUGUCUUUAAUACUGUGAAGGAGGCCAAAGAACAGACAGGAGCAACGGCUUCUGUCAUUUAUGUUCCUCCGCCUUUUGCUGCUGCUGCCAUUAAUGAAGCUAUUGAGGCAGAAAUUCCUUUGGUUGUGUGUAUCACUGAAGGAAUUCCUCAGCAGGACAUGGUACGAGUCAAGCACAAACUGCUGCGCCAGGAAAAGACAAGGCUAAUUGGGCCCAACUGCCCUGGAGUCAUCAAUGUGAGUGCAAAAAA